CAUCCUGGGGCUGAAGCAGGUCCCAAGGGUAUGGCUGUUCGCCAUUUAAAGAGGUACGCGAGCUGGGUUUAGAACGUCGUGAGACAGUUCGGUCCCUAUCUACCGUGGGCGUUGGAAAUUUGAGAGGAUCUGCUCCUAGUACGAGAGGACCAGAGUGGACGAACCUCUGGUGUACCGGUUGUCACGCCAGUGGCAUCGCCGGGUAGCUAUGUUCGGAAGGGAUAACCGCUGAAAGCAUCUAAGCGGGAAGCCUACCUCAAGAUAAGAUUUCCCCGAGACUUUAUGUCUCCUAAAGAGCCGUUGAAGACUACGACGUUGAUAGGUUGGAUGUGGAAGCAUAGUGAUAUGUGAAGCUGACCAAUACUAAUUGCUCGUGAGGCUUGACUAUACAACACCCAAGCAGUUG
RNAcentral lists this ribosomal RNA (406 nucleotides) under Salmonella enterica subsp. enterica serovar Typhimurium. RNAcentral describes it as "partial 23S ribosomal RNA". It matches the Rfam family "Bacterial large subunit ribosomal RNA", at positions 2543 to 2925 of the family's 2925-position model. Lineage: Bacteria; Pseudomonadati; Pseudomonadota; Gammaproteobacteria; Enterobacterales; Enterobacteriaceae. The record is from RNAcentral.